RNAcentral lists this ribosomal RNA (432 nucleotides) under uncultured bacterium. RNAcentral describes it as "partial 16S ribosomal RNA". It matches the Rfam family "Bacterial small subunit ribosomal RNA", at positions 29 to 506 of the family's 1533-position model. The record is from RNAcentral.
AACGAACGCUGGCGGCAGGCCUAACACAUGCAAGUCGAGCGGACCUUUCGGGGUCAGCGGCGGACGGGUGAGUAACGCGUGGGAAUAUGCCCUUCUCUACGGAAUAGUCCUGGGAAACUGGGGGUAAUACCGUAUACGCCCUUUGGGGGAAAGAUUUAUCGGGGAAGGAUUAGCCCGCGUUGGAUUAGGUAGUUGGUGGGGUAAUGGCCUACCAAGCCGACGAUCCAUAGCUGGUUUGAGAGGAUGAUCAGCCACACUGGGACUGAGACACGGCCCAGACUCCUACGGGAGGCAGCAGUGGGGAAUCUUAGACAAUGGGGGCAACCCUGAUCUAGCCAUGCCGCGGGAGUGAUGAAGGCCUUAGGGUUGUAAAGCUCUUUCAGCUGGGAAGAUAAUGACGGUACCAGCAGAAGAAGCCCCGGCUAACUCCGU